RNAcentral lists this ribosomal RNA (621 nucleotides) under Triticum aestivum (bread wheat). Its description in RNAcentral is "partial small subunit ribosomal RNA". Lineage: Eukaryota; Viridiplantae; Streptophyta; Magnoliopsida; Poales; Poaceae. The record is from RNAcentral.
AUGGACAUGGGACACAUGCAUGCCAGGAGGCUUCUGUCGCACGCCGCGGCGACGCCGGCGGUGGCGGCGCCCGGCCCGUCGGGGCAGACGCCGCCCUCGAGCCCCUUCGGCUCCGUGGACGCAACGGUGAUCUCGAUCCUGUCGCUGCUCCUCUGCGUCCUCGUCGUGGCGCUCGUGGUCCGCGCGUUCGUCCAGUGCGCGUGCCGCGUCACGCGGCGCGUGUGCUACGGCCCGGCGGAGGUCCCCAGCGACGCAGAGGCCGGCGGCCUGGAGAGGACCGUGCUGCACGCCGCCGCCGGCGCCGGCGGCAAGAAGAAGCGGGCGGGCAAGGGCGCCGCCAUCCGGGCGAUCCCGACGAUGGAGUACUCGGCGGAGAUCGAGCUCGCCGUGUGCUGCUCCACCGAGUGCGCCAUCUGCCUCGCCGACCUGAAGCAAGGCGAGCGCGUCCGCGUGUUGCCGCGCUGCCACCACGGCUUCCACGUCCGGUGCAUUGACCGAUGGCUCUCCGCGCGCCAGACGUGCCCCACCUGCAGACAGGAGCCGUUCGUGCCGCAGGCCCGACCCGAGGAGCCGGCGGCCGUGCAGGUGCACGUCGACGCUGCACAGCUCGACACGAUCUAG